This is a long non-coding RNA of Musa acuminata AAA Group (dessert banana), 523 nucleotides long. RefSeq lists it as uncharacterized. The record is from RefSeq and is a predicted model, not a curated record. The transcript has 2 exons. NCBI's taxonomy places the organism in Eukaryota, Viridiplantae, Streptophyta, Magnoliopsida, Zingiberales, Musaceae.
GACGAAAUCACGUGCAGCGGGGUGACAGGACAGUGAAGGAAAAGAGGAGCCUGAUGCGAUCACAACGCCAACCGUCUCUUUCUCUCGCUCGCUCGUUCGCUCUGUGGACGGUCAACAUAUUCCAUCUACCGAAAUCAUAUGCUGCUGCCGUGAACACCACCAGAUGCCAAGAAACACCUGUACCCUUGUCCAGCACAGAGUGCCUAGGAAUGGUUAGGGUUUUGUAUCGUUUCCAAGCCCACAUGGUGGAAUGAUUGGCCUGUGAUUCCAGCACACGAUGGCUUUUUCGUGUACGGGGAUUGCACAGCCCUUAGGGAUGCUUCUGAAACUAGCAGUCACAAACCCUAGCGAGGCAUGUGUUUGGUAGCAGAAUUUGGGCAGAUACAGAUCGCCCUCAUCAGAAAUGAGAUCGGUUUGUUGUCCAGAGUGUAGUUCGAUGCGGUUGGUCCACAGCCGGAUCUUCAUGCCAUCCAUCUUCGUCCUCAAUCCAACACAACAAAAUUGAUUCGAUUUAUUACCCCUC